Molecule: unclassified non-coding RNA, 391 nt
Filed under: soil metagenome
Description: partial contains 5.8S ribosomal RNA, internal transcribed spacer 2, and large subunit ribosomal RNA
Rfam family: 5.8S ribosomal RNA (bases 1-122)
Source: RNAcentral
GAUGCAGAACGUAGCGAAAUGCGAUACUUGGUGUGAAUUGCAGAAUCCCGUGAACCAUCGAGUCUUUGAACGCAAGUUGCGCCCGAAGCCAUUAGGCCGAGGGCACGCCUGCCUGGGCGUCACACGUCGUUGCCCCCCCAUCUACUCCUUCGGGAUUGCGGGGGGCGGAUGAUGGCCUCCCGUGCGCCUCGUCGCGCGGUUGGCAUAAAUGCCAAGUCCUCGGCGACGCACGCCACGACAAUCGGUGGUUGCGAAACCUCGGUUGCCCGUCGUGUGCGGUCGUCGCGCAUCGAGGGCUCGAAAAAAUUGUCGGGCUCCGGCUCGGCUUUCAACGCGACCCCAGGUCAGGCGGGGUUACCCGCUGAAUUUAAGCAUAUCAAUAAGCGGAGGA